Molecule: transfer RNA, 74 nt
Filed under: Dysgonamonadaceae bacterium
Lineage: Bacteria; Pseudomonadati; Bacteroidota; Bacteroidia; Bacteroidales; Dysgonomonadaceae
Description: tRNA-Cys
Rfam family: tRNA
About the family: Transfer RNA (tRNA) molecules are approximately 80 nucleotides in length. Their secondary structure includes four short double-helical elements and three loops (D, anti-codon, and T loops).
Source: RNAcentral
GGUACCUUGGCCGAGGGGUUAGGUAGCGGUCUGCAAAACCGCCCACGGCGGUUCGAAUCCGCCAGGUACCUCCA